RNAcentral lists this ribosomal RNA (160 nucleotides) under uncultured bacterium. RNAcentral's name for it is "partial 16S ribosomal RNA". It matches the Rfam family "Bacterial small subunit ribosomal RNA", at positions 357 to 509 of the family's 1533-position model. The record is from RNAcentral.
GGGAAUUUUGGACAAUGGGGGCAACCCUGAUCCAGCCAUGCCGCGUGAGUGAAGAAGGCCUUCGGGUUGUAAAGCUCUUUCGGCCGGGAAGAAAUCGCAUUCUCUAACAUAGGGUGUGGAUGACGGUACCGGACUAAGAAGCACCGGCUAACUACGUGCC